UUCCUACGGGCGGCAGCAGUGGGGAAUAUUGGACAAUGGGGGAAACCCUGAUCCAGCAAUGCCGCGUGAAUGAAGAAGGCCUUAGGGUUGUAAAGUUCUUUUGUCCGUGACGAUAAUGACGGUAGCGGACGAAUAAGCCCUGGCUAACUCUGUGCCAGCAGCCGCGGUAAUACAGAGAGGGCAAGCGUUGUCCGGAAUGACUGGGCGUAAAGCGCGCGCAGGCGGUCUUUUAAGUUGGGUGUGAAAUCCCCGGGCUUAACCUGGGAACUGCAUUCGAUACUGGAAGACUAGAGGCCGAGAGAGGAAAGCGGAAUGACGAGUGUAGAGGUGAAAUUCGUAGAUAUUCGUCGGAACACCAGAGGCGAAGGCGGCUUUCUGGCUCGGACCUGACGCUCAGGCGCGAAAGCGUGGGGAGCAAACAGGAUUAGAUACCCGGGUAGUCCUA
Molecule: ribosomal RNA, 445 nt
Filed under: uncultured Rickettsiales bacterium
Lineage: Bacteria; Pseudomonadati; Pseudomonadota; Alphaproteobacteria; Rickettsiales
Description: bacterial SSU rRNA
Rfam family: Bacterial small subunit ribosomal RNA
Source: RNAcentral